RNAcentral lists this ribosomal RNA (366 nucleotides) under uncultured soil bacterium. RNAcentral describes it as "bacterial SSU rRNA". It matches the Rfam family "Bacterial small subunit ribosomal RNA", at positions 26 to 405 of the family's 1533-position model. The record is from RNAcentral.
AGAUUGAACGCUGGCGGCAUGCCUAACACAUGCAAGUCGAACGGGAGUAGCAAUACUCUGGUGGCGGACGGGUGAGGAAUACGUAGGAAUUUGCCCUUAAGUGGGGGAUAACCCGGGGGAAACCCGGAUUAAUACCGCAUGACCUCGAAAGAGCAAAGUGGGGGAUCGCAAGACCUCACGCUUUUGGAGAAGCCUACGUCGGAUUAGCUAGUUGGUGAGGUAAUGGCUCACCAAGGCGACGAUCCGUAACUGGUCUGAGAGGAUGAUCAGUCACACGACUGAGACACGGUCGACUCCGUACGGGAGCAGCGAGUGGGAAUGUGGACAAGUGGGCGCAAGCCUAGGAUCCAGCAAUGACCGCGUGUG